GUAACCUACUACCUUAGUUACCGGUGCCCCUAAAAUAGACCAAGAUGGAGAAGGCCAGUAUGCCUUGGCUCUCCACGAAUACCCUCCUCCUCCUCAAACACCAAAGCAAAAGCAAGUAAUUAAAUUGUAUUCGCCAAAGUAGCUAGUUAACAAUAAGUAGUGGACCAACGGACAAUGAUGUAUUGCUAGAAUGUAUGAUUACCGUUAUUAAGGUUACAGAAUGCUCGCGCUGAAGUGCUCAAAAGGUGCACGAAAGGCGCUGAAGGCAGCGGUUUUUUUUUCUAAAAAAAGAAGUCAAGUCUGAACACGGCCAAUUUUCGUUGAAAGCGGUGAUAAAGAUGCUGCAAGUAUUACCAAUGAGCUAUUACCCUCAUUGACACGGGAAGACCUAAGAGACCUUAUGCCAGGGCCGGAGAAUUUUCUGAGGAGAAAACACAUUUGGGAAGCUGUCCAUUCAGAGGAAAGCUCAUCCUCUGAACCAGUCACGGAUAACAACAUACCCAAGACACAAGAAGUAACGCCAGAAAAAGUAAUAAAGAUAUGUAGUCCAGAGUAUGUUGUGUACACAGAUGCAGAGCUUGAGCAUGUGCGCAAAUACUACUUUGAACUUCAUCGCAAUGGGCAAGCACAUGAGUGUGUUAUGUCCAAAGAGCUGCGAUGUCGCUUGGUCAGAAAUACUAUUACUUCAAUGAUUUCAAUUGUACGAGGCUAUGACAUGAAGGAAAGAAGAGAUUGGGGAGAGUAUCCCUCCCGUG
Molecule: long non-coding RNA, 755 nt
Organism: Clupea harengus (Atlantic herring)
Lineage: Eukaryota; Metazoa; Chordata; Actinopteri; Clupeiformes; Clupeidae
Source: Ensembl